RNAcentral lists this ribosomal RNA (506 nucleotides) under uncultured bacterium. Its description in RNAcentral is "bacterial SSU rRNA". It matches the Rfam family "Bacterial small subunit ribosomal RNA", at positions 19 to 518 of the family's 1533-position model. The record is from RNAcentral.
CUGGCUCAGGAUGAACGGCUGGCGGUGUGCCUAAUACAUGCAAGUCGAUCGGGCGUAGCAAUACGUCAGAGGCGUACGGGUGAGUAACACGUAGGUAACCUACCUUUAAGACUGGGAUACCCAGACGAAAGUUUGGCUAAUACCGGAUAACAACAUUUGAGACAUCUCUUUUGUUUGAAAGGCGCUGCAAGGCGCCACUUUUAGAUGGACCUGCGUCGCAUUAGCUAGUUGGUGAGAUAAAAGCCCACAAGGCUGGGAUGCGUAGCCGAUCUGAGAGGAUGACCGGCCACAAUGGGACUGAGACACGGCCCAUACUCCUACGGGAGGCAGCAGUAGGGAGUUUUCGGCAAUGGGGGAAACCCUGACCGAGCAACACCGCGUGAGUGAUGAAAAGGUCUUCGGAUCGUAAAGCUCUGUUACGAGGGACGAAUGAUCGCUUUAGGAAAUGAGAGCGGUUUGACGGUACCUCGCCAGAAAGCGACGGCUAACUACGUGCCAGCAGCGGC